UUAUUAUUUCGUUAGUUUUUUUGCUAUUCUAUGAUUUAUAUAAUGAUAGAUUCUUACGGUAAAAUAAAAAUGGGGUAAUUGCUUAUAUACCCCUGAAAAAUUUUCGAUUUUCUGAUUUACCCCUAUUAGAAAGCUAAUAUUAAAAAUACAUUUUUACGUUCUAAUCUAUUUCAAAUAUACCCAUAGAGUUAAAAUCCGUUAAUGAACUUUGUUAUCUGUAUAAAAUUACUAUUUUGCCCUUUCAAAUAUAACCUUCCACCAUCACCGACUUUUCUUUUCUUAUUUGCCCUUAAGUCUGAGGCACAAAAAGUAUUUUGACUUUUGGUCUUUUCAAAUAUACCCCUCUACCAUCACCAAUAUUUCUUAUUUGCCCUUAAGUUAAGGGCAAAAUUAAUAUUUUAAUUUUUUUUUAACUAUGGUAGAUAUUUAACUCAUGUUUAAUCCUAGUUAACUUAACGGAUGAUAACUGUAGGAGUAUUUUGGAAUAACGGAGGAACAUAUGAGGGGUAUAUUGAAAAGAAAAAAAAAGCAGGGAUAAAUAAGAUAUUUUUGAAGUUUUGAGGGGUAUAUAGGCAAUUAUCCCAAUAAAAAUAAA
RNAcentral lists this long non-coding RNA (595 nucleotides) under Ananas comosus (pineapple). RNAcentral describes it as "long non-coding RNA (ACOM_LNC026420)". Lineage: Eukaryota; Viridiplantae; Streptophyta; Magnoliopsida; Poales; Bromeliaceae. The record is from RNAcentral.